GCCGGAGUGGUGGAACAGGUAGACACGCAGGAUUUAGGUUCCUGUGCCUUCGGGCGUGGGGGUUCGACUCCCCCCUUCGGCA
This 82-nucleotide transfer RNA is filed under the name metagenome. RNAcentral's name for it is "tRNA-Leu". It matches the Rfam family "tRNA". Rfam says of the family: Transfer RNA (tRNA) molecules are approximately 80 nucleotides in length. The record is from RNAcentral.